GUUCCUUCACCGCUACAAACAUAGUCCUGAAUGAAGAGACACUCACUCGGCUCUUGUUUGAAGCUGCUCCUGUUUUUAUUUUUGCUGAAGCUGAAACUGAAAGUAUCUUCAACCCUCUUUAACAACGGCCUCUGGUUACAUUAACUAUCAGCGAAAGAAGUGAUGGGUCAGCUAAUAGGAGUACAACAUCAUAAAAUGGAAAACAACUGCAAGGUCACUGUCCGUGGAUGUUCGGGCGAAACUAAGACAAUCGACCUGGGAACUGAGGAACAGUUCAAAGCCGUCACGGUGCAGCAGCUGAAGGAGAAGAUCAUAGAGGCGUUUGAGUAUGAGAACGGAGAGGCUUUAAGGUUUAUAUGUAAUGGCAGAGAGCUGACACAAGACUCCACCCCACUGUGUGAAUAUGGAAUACAAACCUCAUCUGUCAUACAUGUAAUUUUUAGAUUGCGAGGGGGAGGAUUGCCUCCUCCUGAGAGGGGGGAUGGUGGGAUGGGUGACAAAGGAGGUAAAAGCCAAAGCAUGGAACAACUCUAUUUUUUUAAAACCAUUUUAAUAACAGAUCAAAUCCACUCAUCAGUGACAUAAGACCUCAAACAGUUAUCUGAAGUCAUCUCAACCUAACCCCUGUGAACACAGCAGGUCCUCCCACUGAAGAACAGUCACAGGAAAGUUAGUUUGAACAUGUUGACUUGGACAGAAACACAUUCAUUUGGGUGAUUGUUGUGUAAAUGUUAAUCCAGGAACCUGCUGCUGUUGUGAAACACAUCCUAGGCUGCUGGGGGACGACGCACUGAGAACGUGUCCUCUACUUUCUCUUCUUUGGCACUGAGCUCCUGUCCUCUAAUCUCUUAUAAUGUAUUUUCUAUUACAAACAGCUCUGUCUCCUGCUUCUCCUUCCCCUCCCCUCCCCUCCCCUCCAUCUUCUUGUGAGGGUCUCAGGAAUGGAGACGUGAUGUCGGCUCCUGGUGCUGUAGCUGAGCUCUAGUCACUGCUGUUUCUGCCCCUUUUUAAAGAUAUAUUUGUGUACUAUUGGUUACCUCGUUUCAUUUAGUGUUUUGAUUAUCAAUUGAGUUAAGGGAGCUUUGUUUUCUCCCCAGUCUAGUUAGUCGGCUUAGUUUUCUAUGUUCCUUCCUUCUUGUUUUCGUAAAUCAAUUUUGAGUUAAUCUUAUUCUGGGCUUCUGUCAGUGCCAGUACAGGUGGGCUGGUCAUUGGUGUGCAGGUGGAGGCUCACUGGGUGGAGGGUUUUAUUUGCAUGUUUAAUAUUUGUUGUGCCCUAAUUUGUUUGUCUUUUGUUUUUGCAGUGUGUGUGUGUGUGUGUGUGUGUGUGACCUCCCUUUGGGUAGCUGGUGGUGGUGGCCCCUCUCCCCUUCACUCCCCCACCCCUGUGGGCUCUCUGACAGUCAACCUGUGCUGGUUAACACUUCAGUGUAGUGACAGUUCAGCAAUAGAAAUAUUUUUGCAAUAAUAUAGCCUUAUUUUUAAGCCAAGUCCUCCUGCUAUUUAGCUGAUGUGAGAUUUACUUGUGAAUAAAAACUGAAAAUUUUUCAAAACUAGAAAUUCCCUUUUCUGCUCCUUUUUUCCUUAAAACAUAAGAACCUGUAUUCAGUGUGGUUUUCUCUGGGUGAAAGUCCCAGAGUGGCGUUGUCGCAUUGUCAAGGGUGUACAGCUGCCCCAGUUACAUAUCUAUGAAGUUUAUUUAUGGUUCCUCCAUAUGAGCUGGGUUCUGCUGGAGGUUUCUUCCUGUUAAAAGGGAGUUUGCCAUUGUUACCUUCAGGCUGCUCUGGAGUUUCAGGAUGGUUUUCAUAAAGCGUCUUAAGACAAUUUGUAUUAUUGAUGCUAUAUUAAAAAACUGAAUUGAAUUGAAUCUCGGUUAAGACAGGAAUAAAUACAUUUGGUGGAAAUCUUGUUCCUGAGGAUGAUUGAUGUGUUCUAAUAUGUCUUUCUCUUUUUUUUUUUUAACUGCUGACACAUUUUUAAAACCAACCUACACUGUCUUUGUGUUUUAGUAAAUCUGUGGUGUCUGUUGUUUGAGGUAUGUGAUCAGGUGUUUCGUUUCUCUGUCAGCCUUGAAACAGGUUUGAUCAGUUUGAUGACGUACACCAAAGCCACACACCUCAAAUCUGCUUUAAAAGUAUUUAAUAUGUCAGUGUUUUAGUUUCCAUGUGAACACCUGGACUGUGAUAUGAAACCAAAGCAUUUUGACCAUAACACAUCAUCAAACUAAAAGUGUACCAGUAUGUAUGCAGGUGAAAAUGAUUUUUGUUUUAUUUUUUCCUGAUUUGUUGGAUAUUAAAGCCUUUUACAAACAUCA
This is a long non-coding RNA of Mugil cephalus (flathead mullet), 2311 nucleotides long. RefSeq lists it as uncharacterized. The record is from RefSeq and is a predicted model, not a curated record. The transcript is spliced from 2 exons. Lineage: Eukaryota; Metazoa; Chordata; Actinopteri; Mugiliformes; Mugilidae.